AACAGCUGCUCUGUUGUGGCCGUAAACAGUUUAACACUUGCCUGCAUGGAUAGUAACGUUAGCAGCAGGAGGUGUCGGCACCAGGAUAAUGUGUAGCACACGGACAUAGAGACCUGUGAACGCUGCUAAACCCGGUCUACGGAUGAAGGGCUCAAAGAAAGUUCCAAGUCCUGGAGAGACUGAAGGGUAUCUCCAAUGGGUUAUAUAUGCUAUUGGUUUAGUGUUAGAUUUGGUUGUGGGACGAUAAAAAUAUUGUUAAAAGUAACAAUGCAUUGACCUAGAACAUGCAUAGCCAACCUUGCUCCUAGAGAUCUAGCUAUUGGGAGCGCAGGUUUCUGUUCCAGCCCUGACAUUCUGCAUAUUAUUCAAUUAACUAUUCAAUCAUCUCGUUUUGGAGUAAGAUGGAUGUCUAAACCCGCGAACCCUUUACCAUCUUUGUAUGAUAUGAAAUAAAGUGUUGAUUCUUUGAAUUAA
Molecule: long non-coding RNA, 474 nt
Organism: Salvelinus fontinalis (brook trout)
Lineage: Eukaryota; Metazoa; Chordata; Actinopteri; Salmoniformes; Salmonidae
Exons: 2
Source: RefSeq, a predicted model, not a curated record